CCUACGGGGGGCUGCAGUGAGGAAUAUUGGUCAAUGGGCGUAAGCCUGAACCAGCCAAGUCGCGUGAGGGAUGAAGGUUCUAUGGAUCGUAAACCUCUUUUAUAAGGGAAUAAAGUGUGGGACGUGUCCUAUUUUGUAUGUACCUUAUGAAUAAGGAUCGGCUAACUCCGUGCCAGCAGCCGCGGUAAUACGGAGGAUCCGAGCGUUAUCCGGAUUUAUUGGGUUUAAAGGGUGCGUAGGCGGCUUUUUAAGUAAGCGGUGAAAGUCUGUGGCUCAACCCUAGAAUUGCCGUUGAAACUGGUGGGCUUGAGUAUGUGUGAGGCAGGCGGAAUUCGUUGUGUAGCGGUGAAAUGCUUAGAUAUCACGAAGAACCCCGAUUGCGAAGGCAGCCUGUCAAGCUGUAACUGACGCUGAUGCACGAAAGCGUGGGGAUCAAACAGGAUUAGAUACCCGAGUAGUC
Molecule: ribosomal RNA, 460 nt
Filed under: uncultured bacterium
Lineage: Bacteria
Description: partial 16S ribosomal RNA
Rfam family: Bacterial small subunit ribosomal RNA
Source: RNAcentral